RNAcentral lists this ribosomal RNA (818 nucleotides) under uncultured Actinomycetes bacterium. RNAcentral describes it as "bacterial SSU rRNA". It matches the Rfam family "Bacterial small subunit ribosomal RNA", at positions 335 to 1167 of the family's 1533-position model. Lineage: Bacteria; Bacillati; Actinomycetota; Actinomycetes. The record is from RNAcentral.
ACUCCUACGGGAGGCAGCAGUGGGGAAUAUUGCACAAUGGGCGCAAGCCUGAUGCAGCAACGCCGCGUGAGGGACGACGGCCUUCGGGUUGUAAACCUCUUUUAGUAGGGAAGAAGCGAAAGUGACGGUACCUGCAGAAAAAGCACCGGCUAACUACGUGCCAGCAGCCGCGGUAAUACGUAGGGUGCAAGCGUUAUCCGGAAUUAUUGGGCGUAAAGAGCUCGUAGGCGGUCUGUCGCGUCUGCUGUGAAAACUGGGGGCUCAACCCCCAGCCUGCAGUGGGUACGGGCAGACUAGAGUGCGGUAGGGGAGAUUGGAAUUCCUGGUGUAGCGGUGGAAUGCGCAGAUAUCAGGAGGAACACCGAUGGCGAAGGCAGAUCUCUGGGCCGUAACUGACGCUGAGGAGCGAAAGCAUGGGGAGCGAACAGGAUUAGAUACCCUGGUAGUCCAUGCCGUAAACGUUGGGAACUAGAUGUAGGGUCCAUUCCACGGAUUCUGUGUCGCAGCUAACGCAUUAAGUUCCCCGCCUGGGGAGUACGGCCGCAAGGCUAAAACUCAAAGGAAUUGACGGGGGCCCGCACAAGCGGCGGAGCAUGCGGAUUAAUUCGAUGCAACGCGAAGAACCUUACCAAGGCUUGACAUAUACCGGAAAAGGCUAGAAAUAGUCUCCCCGCAGGUCGGUAUACAGGUGGUGCAUGGUUGUCGUCAGCUCGUGUCGUGAGAUGUUGGGUUAAGUCCCGCAACGAGCGCAACCCUCGUUCUAUGUUGCCAGCACGUAAUGGUGGGAACUCAUAGGAGACUGCCGGGGUCAACUCGGA